AUACGUAGGGGGCGAGCGUUGUCCGGAAUGAUUGGGCGUAAAGGGCGCGUAGGCGGCCCGGUAAGUCUGGAGUGAAAGCCCUGUUUUUAAGAUGGGAAUUGCUUUGGAUACUGUCGGGCUUGAGUGCAGGAGAGGUAAGUGGAAUUCCCAGUGUAGCGGUGAAAUGCGUAGAGAUUGGGAGGAACACCAGUGGCGAAGGCGACUUACUGGACUGUAACUGACGCUGAGGCGCGAAAGUGUGGGGAGCAAACAGGAUUAGAUACCCUGGUAGUCCACACUGUAAACGAUGAAUGCUAGGUGUAGGGGGUAUCGACCCCUUCUGUGCCGCAGUCAACACAAUAAGCAUUCCGCCUGGGGAGUACGGCCGCAAGGUUGAAACUCAAAGGAAUUGACGGGG
RNAcentral lists this ribosomal RNA (397 nucleotides) under uncultured bacterium. RNAcentral describes it as "partial 16S ribosomal RNA". It matches the Rfam family "Bacterial small subunit ribosomal RNA", at positions 523 to 918 of the family's 1533-position model. The record is from RNAcentral.